GACGAACGCUGGCGGCGUGCUUAACACAUGCGAGUCGAACGAAGAGCGAUGGAAGCUUGCUUCUAUCAAUCUUAGUGGCGAACGGGUGAGUAACGCGUAAUCAACCUGCCCUUCAGAGGGGGACAACAGUUGGAAACGACUGCUAAUACCGCAUACGAUCUAAUCUUGGCAUCGAGGAUAGAUGAAAGGUGGCCUCUACAUGUAAGCUAUCGCUGAAGGAGGGGAUUGCGUCUGAUUAGCUAGUUGGAGGGGUAACGGCCCACCAAGGCGAUGAUCAGUAGCCGGUCUGAGAGGAUGAACGGCCACAUUGGGACUGAGACACGGCCCAGACUCCUACGGGAGGCAGCAGUGGGGAAUCUUCCGCAAUGGACGAAGGUCUGACGGAGAAACGCCGCGUGAGUGAUGACGGCCUUCGGGUUGUAAAGCUCUGUUAAUCGGGACGAAAGGCCUUCUUGCGAAUAGUGAGAAGGAUUGACGGUACCGGAAUAGAAAGCCACGGCUAACUACGUG
This 510-nucleotide ribosomal RNA is filed under the name uncultured bacterium. RNAcentral describes it as "partial 16S ribosomal RNA". It matches the Rfam family "Bacterial small subunit ribosomal RNA", at positions 28 to 507 of the family's 1533-position model. The record is from RNAcentral.